This 482-nucleotide ribosomal RNA is filed under the name uncultured bacterium. RNAcentral's name for it is "bacterial SSU rRNA". It matches the Rfam family "Bacterial small subunit ribosomal RNA", at positions 28 to 533 of the family's 1533-position model. The record is from RNAcentral.
GACGAACGCUGGCGGCGUGCCUAACACAUGCAAGUCGAACGAAGCAUAGCAAUAUGCUUAGUGGCGGACGGGUGAGUAACGCGUGAACAAUCUGCCCUGUACAAAGGAAUAGCCUCGGGAAACCGGGAUUAAAACCGUAUGACACUUUAGUAUCGCAUGAUAAGAAAGUCAAAUCGAAUAGAGGUAUGGGAUGAGUUCGCGUCUGAUUAGCUGGGUUGGCGGGGUAACGGCCCACCAAGGCGAUGAUCAGUAGCCGGCCUGAGAGGGUGAACGGCCACACUGGAACUGAGACACGGUCCAGACUCCUACGGGAGGCAGCAGUGGGGAAUAUUGCACAAUGGAGGGAACUCUGAUGCAGCGACGCCGCGUGAGUGAAGAAGGUCUUCGGAUCGUAAAACUCUGUCCUUGGUGAAGAAAGGACGGUAGCCAAGGAGGAAGCCCCGGCUAACUACGUGCCAGCAGCCGCGGUAAGCUGUAGUCGU